This is a long non-coding RNA of Odocoileus virginianus texanus, 576 nucleotides long. RefSeq lists it as uncharacterized. The record is from RefSeq and is a predicted model, not a curated record. Lineage: Eukaryota; Metazoa; Chordata; Mammalia; Artiodactyla; Cervidae.
UCAUUUCACCCUUCCAUCCUCCUUGCCCUGGGGCAAAGUCUGGCAGUUGUUGAGAAAACAGUCAAUGGCCACUUUGCCCUUUGGUUGGGAAGCACGUGGCCAGUGAUGUGUGGCUUCCCAGCCCCCAGCCAAGCAGGGGAAAAACCAGGAUUGCUUUGCAAACACCCGGGCCCCCAGAGAGGAGCAGGGUCCAGUGCUUCUCAGCCUCCGGAGUGAUAAAUGGGAAUAAUAAUAGCUAUUCUGAUCAGUCCUCUGUCGGGCAUAAAGCAGAGCUGGACACGAGCUUGAAGCAGGAAGCAAAAACCUGAAGACAAUGAGGGUCUUCCAGGGACGGUGGAGCACGUGAUCAGAGAAGCUGCCCCAAGCAUGGAGCCACAGAAAGAUGUAGAAAGAAAUCUUUGGUUCCCCUGAGCCCAGCAUGUUUCCUACAGUCCGAGACUGUGAGGUUGCUCUGUAUCUUGUUGACUGGCUUACUUUUAUGCGAACUUUUCCAAGUAAAAUUCUAUUCCUAGCAACCAGACAAUUCCCGAUGGAAUUCCUGAUUAUGUCCUAUUAAUAAAUGAUUCGAGGUAUGAA